This 198-nucleotide ribosomal RNA is filed under the name uncultured bacterium. RNAcentral's name for it is "partial 16S ribosomal RNA". It matches the Rfam family "Bacterial small subunit ribosomal RNA", at positions 328 to 539 of the family's 1533-position model. The record is from RNAcentral.
ACGCUCGACACCUACGGAGGCAGCAGUGGGGAAUAUUGCACAAUGGGGGAAACCCUGAUGCAGCGACGCCGCGUGGAGGAAGAAGGUCUUCGGAUUGUAAACUCCUGUUGUUGGGGAAAAAGAGGAUGGUACCCAACAAGGAAGUGACGGCUAACUACGUGCCGAGUAGCCGCGGUAAUCUGAGCGGGCUGGCAAGGC